UCGACCCUGGUCCACCCUGGCCUGUGCCCAGGCCACUACCACACCACUCGCCGCCGCGGCCGACCUCAACCACCACUGUUGUCGAUCUCAACCCACCCGCCUCCGCGGCCGUACCUCUGCCCGCUUGCUGCCCCCGUUUCAGCGCUCGAGCACAGCUUCUGGAUCAAAUUACGACUCCUUAUGGCCAGAUAGAGGCGCCUAACCCUUGCUCCCCUCAUGGUAUCCCCUCCUCCGGCAGGAACUCAUCAUCUGGUGAGAUCC
Molecule: long non-coding RNA, 261 nt
Filed under: Hordeum vulgare
Lineage: Eukaryota; Viridiplantae; Streptophyta; Magnoliopsida; Poales; Poaceae
Description: long non-coding RNA (HVUL_LNC005234)
Source: RNAcentral